GGCAUAAUAGAUGGAAAAUCACCUAGAAAUAGAAUAUUCUAUCAAUAACUAAGAAUGUUAAUAUCUCCGUGUUUCAUAAAUAGAUGCAGGAUGAGAUCUGGGAGCCUCCCAUUUCCAGGAUUCCCAGCUGGGAAUGGUCCAAGUUCAGCCAUUCAACACUGCUAAUCUUACACCCUGGCCAGUAAGCACUUUUGGAGAAAAUCACCUGGUAAAUGGAUCAGAGCCACUUCAGAUUCAAGAACAUACGCCUUUGAGAAAAUGAGAUGGAGAAAAAGCUGAGGUUUCUGGACCUGGGCUUAGAGCAUGGAGGCAGUAGCUGAGUUAUAGAGUAAAUAAAUGGUAGGGGUUAUACCA
Molecule: long non-coding RNA, 354 nt
Filed under: Vulpes vulpes (red fox)
Lineage: Eukaryota; Metazoa; Chordata; Mammalia; Carnivora; Canidae
Description: lncRNA (ENSVVUG00000028788.1)
Source: RNAcentral